Molecule: ribosomal RNA, 498 nt
Filed under: uncultured bacterium
Lineage: Bacteria
Description: partial 16S ribosomal RNA
Rfam family: Bacterial small subunit ribosomal RNA
Source: RNAcentral
AUUGAACGCUGGCGGCAUGCCUUACACAUGCAAGUCGAACGGUAACAGGUCUUCGGAUGCUGACGAGUGGCGAACGGGUGAGUAAUACAUCGGAACGUGCCUAGUAGUGGGGGAUAACUACUCGAAAGAGUGGCUAAUACCGAAUGAGAUCUACGGAUGAAAGCAGGGGAUCGCAAGACCUUGUGCUACUAGAGCGGACGAUGGCAGAUUAGGUAGUUGGUGGGAUAAAAGCUUACCAAGCCGACGAUCUGUAGCUGGUCUGAGAGGACGAUCAGCCACACUGGGACUGAGACACGGCCCAGACUCCUACGGGAGGCAGCAGUGGGGAAUUUUGGACAAUGGGCGAAAGCCUGAUCCAGCAAUGCCGCGUGCAGGAUGAAGGCCUUCGGGUUGUAAACUGCUUUUGUACGGAACGAAAAGCCCCGGGUUAAUACCCUGGGGUCAUGACGGUACCGUAAGAAUAAGCACCGGCUAACUACGUGCCAGCAGCCGCCGUAA